Molecule: non-coding RNA, 87 nt
Filed under: Geoalkalibacter subterraneus
Lineage: Bacteria; Pseudomonadati; Thermodesulfobacteriota; Desulfuromonadia; Desulfuromonadales; Geoalkalibacteraceae
Description: c-di-GMP sequence
Rfam family: c-di-GMP-I-GGC riboswitch aptamer
Source: Rfam by way of RNAcentral
UCCGACAAAGGUAAACCUCGGGUAACCGGGGGACACAAAGCCACGGGUCCUGCUCUGAAGGAAAUGGGGACAGCCGGGUUGCCGAAA